RNAcentral lists this ribosomal RNA (414 nucleotides) under Triticum aestivum (bread wheat). RNAcentral's name for it is "partial small subunit ribosomal RNA". Lineage: Eukaryota; Viridiplantae; Streptophyta; Magnoliopsida; Poales; Poaceae. The record is from RNAcentral.
AUGCAAGACUACUUCGCAGAAAAUCCAACAUAUCCACCACACCUCUUUCGGAGAAGGUACCGAAUGCGCCGAUCCCUCUUUGUGAAAAUUGUUCAAGCUUGCGAGGCAAAUUGUCGGUAUUGCAGUCAAAGAAGAAAUGCUGCGGGCUUAGGAUUUAGUGCAUAUCAAAAAAUCUCCGCAGCUAUGCGGGUGAUUGCAUAUGGCAUUCCGGCUGACUAUGCCGAUGAGUACCUUCGCAUUGGUGAAGAUACCACAAUUGAGUCAGUGCGUAGAUUUGCCAAAAUGAUCAUCCGUGUCUUUGUUGUAUUGCGUUGGUAUUGUAAUUUGUGCUGUGGUAUUGAUAUUUGCGGACCGGUGGCAGCGGCGCAAGAGCAGAUCACACAAAACCGACCCGUAAAAAGGUAUAUUCCGUGA